Molecule: ribosomal RNA, 206 nt
Filed under: uncultured Smithella sp.
Lineage: Bacteria; Pseudomonadati; Thermodesulfobacteriota; Syntrophia; Syntrophales; Smithellaceae
Description: partial 16S ribosomal RNA
Rfam family: Bacterial small subunit ribosomal RNA
Source: RNAcentral
AUGACGUCAAGUCCUCAUGGCCUUAUGCUUAGGGCUACGACACGUGCUACAAUGGGUAGUACAAAGAGAAAGCCGAACUCGCGAGAGUGCGCAAAUCUCAAAAAGCUAUCCUAAGUUCGGAUUGAAGUCUGCAACUCGACUUCAUGAAGCUGGAAUCGCUAGUAAUCGCGGAUCAGCAUGCCGCGGUGAAUACGUUCCCGGGCCUU